RNAcentral lists this transfer RNA (88 nucleotides) under Acidobacteriota bacterium. Its description in RNAcentral is "Acidobacteria bacterium (groundwater metagenome) tRNA-Leu". It matches the Rfam family "tRNA". Rfam says of the family: Transfer RNA (tRNA) molecules are approximately 80 nucleotides in length. Their secondary structure includes four short double-helical elements and three loops (D, anti-codon, and T loops). Further hydrogen bonds mediate the characteristic L-shaped molecular structure. tRNAs have two regions of fundamental functional importance: the anti-codon, which is responsible for specific mRNA codon recognition, and the 3' end, to which the tRNAs corresponding amino acid is attached (by aminoacyl-tRNA synthetases). tRNAs cope with the degeneracy of the genetic code in two manners: having more than one tRNA (with a specific anti-codon) for a particular amino acid; and 'wobble' base-pairing, i.e. permitting non-standard base-pairing at the 3rd anti-codon position. Lineage: Bacteria; Pseudomonadati; Acidobacteriota. The record is from RNAcentral.
GCUGGAGUGGCGGAACUGGCAGACGCACCAGACUCAAAAUCUGGCGGCCCUUGCGGUCAUGGGGGUUCGACUCCCCCCUCCAGCACCA